UCCACUGAGUAACACAUACAUACCUCAAAUUUUUUAUCUCUAUGUUAAUGUAUCAAUGCUUAUGUUUUGUUUUCAAGAUAAAUGGAUCAGAAGUAUUAUAUGAAGAGACAAAUAAUGAAUCUGAUCAAACGAGAAAGGCUUAAAGGGCUAGAUCGUAAAUCUAUAAUUUUAAAUUUUCCAUCAAGACCCCAGACAAAACCUCCGAUCUGCCGUUAAUAAUGGAUCUACAGAAAAUUACCAAGGAAGAAAAGAAGAAAAGGAAGAUCUAACCAAAUCCUAGGAAACUUAAGAAGAUUUUGAUAGUAAUUGCCUAAUAAAUUGUACAUUAUCUUUAUUGUAUGAUUUGAUUAUUUUGUUUAUCAAAAGUGUUCAUGUAAAUUGUGAAAAUUUCUUUCAACCCAAAGUUAUAGAUAAUAAUGAAGAAAAAAAAAAUUAAAAAUUUGUAACUCCCCUCUCUCUAGAAAAACGCUCUCACGCCUGAACCCGUUAUCUAGGGGGUUCUCCCCCCUCCCGAAAAACCAGAUCGACAAUCUCAUCAUGGAAAUCUUCCAUUUUCUAGGUUAAUCUUCUCUUUCCACCGGUCAUACAAGUGCAUCCACGUUUUGAUUGUUGUGAUUCCCCAUAUAAAUUGAUGGGUUUGGUAUUCUAAUCAAUGAUUUUUGCUGUGAUGUUGUGUCUCUAAUCUGCAAUGGAGUUUUUUCGAUGAUGUUCUUCACCAACGGAUCUUAUGCCAGUGAUUUCUUCGUUGUAUUCACUGGCUUUCCUAUCAUAGUCGUCAGCCAGGUCUACUAACUAUUUCAAGCCGUCAACUAAAACUCAAGUUAAGAGUAUCACCAUGGAACAAGCAAGAAAACAAGGAGAUAGACAGGUAAAGCACAUGCAUUAUUACCACAACAUUUGGAUGUAAAUGUCGCACUAGCUCCUCAGAUCGAUUGCAUCGGGACCCAAUACCAUCAUCAAAGUUUCUUUGGGCAUAUUUUAUUGUGGAAAGCAUUAAUCGAAAGCCUAUGGACCCUCCAUAACCUCAUCCGUGUUCACCUCACCAAUUCCAGCAUUUCUCCCCAACAUAAUUCUGAUUCGGAAACUAUUGAUCGCAUUCUGCUCCACCAUCAUGUUACUGAAGACUAUUUUUAAUGUGUUAGUAGUUUAUGAAAUAUUUAUGCUUAAAAGAAAAAUAAUGAAGAAGAAGAAGACUGGGUUUUUGAGAAAGAAAAAAAAGUGAUUUGUUUUAUAUUGGUCAAACCAAAUCUGGCGCAGUUUGAAGUGGUAGUACAAGGCAAAAAAAGGGGCGGUACGUCUGCAUUGUACUACUUCGUUAGGAGGUAGUCGAACUACCUAGGAAGUUGCUAUGUCAUGUGUUUGUGUCAUGCCAAACACCUAGUUCAUGAAUGCAUGCUCCUACUACACCCUUUGACUGCACUCUCUCCUCCAACUACAUUGUGCCAAACGAACCCUAAGAGUUCCCUCCAAAAACAAAAUAGUGGUGGGUUUUUCAGAGCAGCAAUCUAUGUCCAAAUCAAACAAAAUAAUUAAAAAAAUAUGGAUAUUGGAGUAUUUUAGUGGAAGUUAAUUCGGUAAAGCAGAGAGAGUUGGCAUGAUUUUCACUCGGGAAGAGUAUGCCGACUUUAAAAGGAUGAUUUUAAUUAUUUUCUAGAUACCCCUUAUCAACGUCCCUUAAUAUUUCAUUAUUGAUAAAUAUAUUUUUUUCAGCU
Papaver somniferum (opium poppy) is the source of this 1712-nucleotide long non-coding RNA. RefSeq lists it as uncharacterized. The record is from RefSeq and is a predicted model, not a curated record. Lineage: Eukaryota; Viridiplantae; Streptophyta; Magnoliopsida; Ranunculales; Papaveraceae. The transcript is spliced from 2 exons.